GAUGAAGAACGCAGCGAAAUGCGAUACGUAAUGUGAAUUGCAGAAUUCAGUGAAUCAUCGAAUCUUUGAACGCAUAUUGCGCUAUCUGGUAUUCCGGAGAGCAUGCUUGUUUGAGUAUCAGUAAACACCUCAACUCCCUUUUCUUUUUUGAAAUUGGAGCUGGACUUGAGUGAUCCCAACGCUUUCUUCCAAGAAAGUGGCGGGUUGCUUGAAAUGCAGGUGCAGCUGAACUUUUCUCUGAGCUAUAAGCAUAUCUAUUUAGUCUGCCUAAAAAACAGAUUAUUACCUUUGCUGCAGCUAACAUAAAGGAGACUAGUUCUUGUGCUGACUGAUGCAGGAUUCACAGAGACAGCUUCGGCUGACUUUGUAAACUCGAUCUCAAAUCAAGUAAGACUACCCGCUGAACUUAAGCAUAUCAAUAAGCGGAGGA
Molecule: unclassified non-coding RNA, 430 nt
Filed under: soil metagenome
Description: partial contains 5.8S ribosomal RNA, internal transcribed spacer 2, and large subunit ribosomal RNA
Rfam family: 5.8S ribosomal RNA (bases 1-120)
Source: RNAcentral